AGGGAGAGAGGGAGAGAGAGAGAGAGGAGAGAGAGAGGGAGAGGGAGAGGGAGAGNCUCUCCCUCUCCCUCUCCCUCUCUCUCUCCUCUCUCUCUCUCUCCCUCUCUCCCUCU
This 113-nucleotide microRNA precursor is filed under the name Marmota monax (woodchuck). The record is from RNAcentral. Lineage: Eukaryota; Metazoa; Chordata; Mammalia; Rodentia; Sciuridae.